Molecule: long non-coding RNA, 561 nt
Filed under: Androctonus crassicauda
Lineage: Eukaryota; Metazoa; Arthropoda; Arachnida; Scorpiones; Buthidae
Source: RNAcentral
UACAGAUCACCUAUGCCGCCGCCGCCGCCGCGAUACCACGAACAAGGUUGGGCCUACUCUCAGGACUUGUAUAGGCAGCCACGUUUUGGCGGGCCUCUACAGUCCCACCGGGCCAAUUACCAUAAAAAUUAUAGGGGAAGAUCGACAUCAAGACUAGCACCACCCCGGGCUUUUAGUGGACUACAAGGGAAUCAACGCUUGCGAAAUUCAUUUCAAUCACCUCAAUGCAUGUCGGAACAAUCUCGUUUGAGUCACCAACGAUAUUCUCAGGGUAGGACUCGCGAACAAAAUCCAAGGAGAUCAGUCUCCUGACUAGAACGAGUCAAUAAUGUUUCGAAUAAGCGUGCUAGGAAGAGUAGUAAGCAACCUAAGCCGAUGAACGCUGCAGUAACAAAAAGAAAAGAGAAACAGGGACGUGUUAAUUAUGAGAAAACCGAAAAUGUCAUACAAUUUAAAGGAAUGAGCGAGAGGAAUUCAGAUAGGGACACAGACCCGAGGUUAAAAUGUUUGGUGAACGGUCGAGUGGGCUAUUUAACGAUAGAUACCGGAGCUAAGGUUACU